This 81-nucleotide transfer RNA is filed under the name Rhizoctonia solani. Its description in RNAcentral is "tRNA-Arg". It matches the Rfam family "tRNA". From Rfam's summary of the family: Transfer RNA (tRNA) molecules are approximately 80 nucleotides in length. Their secondary structure includes four short double-helical elements and three loops (D, anti-codon, and T loops). The record is from RNAcentral. Lineage: Eukaryota; Fungi; Basidiomycota; Agaricomycetes; Cantharellales; Ceratobasidiaceae.
GGCCGCCUGGCGAAAUGGUAUCGCGUCUGACUACGAUUCGUGUAUAUCAGGAGAUUGCAGGUUCGAGCCCUGCGGUGGUCA